This 433-nucleotide ribosomal RNA is filed under the name uncultured bacterium. Its description in RNAcentral is "partial 16S ribosomal RNA". It matches the Rfam family "Bacterial small subunit ribosomal RNA", at positions 29 to 507 of the family's 1533-position model. The record is from RNAcentral.
AACGAACGCUGGCGGCAUGCCUAACACAUGCAAGUCGAACGAGACCUUCGGGCAUAGUGGCGCACGGGUGCGUAACGCGUGGGAACUUGCCCUUAGGUUCGGAAUAACUCCCCGAAAGGGGUGCUAAUACCGCAUAAUCUCUUCGCACCAAAGAUUUAUCGCCUUUGGAUGGGCCCGCGUUGGAUUAGCCAGUUGGUAGGGUAAAAGCCUACCAAGGCGACGAUCCAUAGCUGGUCUGAGAGGAUGAUCAGCCACACUGGGACUGAGACACGGCCCAGACUCCUACGGAAGGCAGCAGUGGGGAAUAUUGGACAAGGGGCGAAAGCCUGAUCCAGCAAUGCCGCGUGAGUGAUGAAGGCCUUAGGGUUGUAAAGCUCUUUUACCCGGGAUGAUAAUGACAGUACCGGGAGAAUAAGCUCCGGCUAACUCCGUG